CCAGCACUGCUAGAAUAAAGCAGGCAGGAGAAGAUGGAAGAGCAGACUUGCUGAGUCUUCCAGGCUUCAUCUUUCUCCUGAGCUGGAUGCUUCCUGCCCUCAAACACCAGACUCCAAGUUCUUCAGCUUUUGGACUCCUGGACUUACACCAGUGGUUUGCCAGGGGCUCUUGGGCCUGUGACCACAAACAGAAGGCUGCACUAUCGGCUUCCCUACUUUUGAGGUUUUGGGACUCAGACUGAUCCACCACUGGCUUCUUCGCUCCUCAACUUGCAGAUGGCCUAUCGUGGGACUUUACCUUGUGAUUGUGUGAGUCAAUUCUCCUUAAUAAACUC
RNAcentral lists this long non-coding RNA (335 nucleotides) under Homo sapiens (human). RNAcentral describes it as "HSALNT0388518". The record is from RNAcentral. Lineage: Eukaryota; Metazoa; Chordata; Mammalia; Primates; Hominidae.